Molecule: ribosomal RNA, 276 nt
Filed under: uncultured Bacteroides sp.
Lineage: Bacteria; Pseudomonadati; Bacteroidota; Bacteroidia; Bacteroidales; Bacteroidaceae
Description: partial 16S ribosomal RNA
Rfam family: Bacterial small subunit ribosomal RNA
Source: RNAcentral
AGCAUGGUCUUAGCUUGCUGAGUUUGAUGGCGACCGGCGCACGGGUGAGUAACACGUAUCCAACCUGCCGAUGACUCGGGGAUAGCCUUUCGAAAGAAAGAUUAAUACCCGAUGGCAUAGUUCUUCCGCAUGGUAGAACUAUUAAAGAAUUUCGGUCAUCGAUGGGGAUGCGUUCCAUUAGGUUGUUGGCGGGGUAACGGCCCACCAAGCCUUCGAUGGAUAGGGGUUCUGAGAGGAUGAACGGCCACACUGGAACUGAGACACGGUCCAGACUCC